RNAcentral lists this ribosomal RNA (420 nucleotides) under uncultured Calothrix sp. Its description in RNAcentral is "bacterial SSU rRNA". It matches the Rfam family "Bacterial small subunit ribosomal RNA", at positions 356 to 793 of the family's 1533-position model. Lineage: Bacteria; Bacillati; Cyanobacteriota; Cyanophyceae; Nostocales; Calotrichaceae. The record is from RNAcentral.
GGGGAAUUUUCCGCAAUGGGCGAAAGCCUGACGGAGCAAUACCGCGUGAGGGAUGAAGGCUCUUGGGUCGUAAACCUCUUUUCUCAAGGAAGAUAAUGACGGUACUUGAGGAAUCAGCAUCGGCUAACUCCGUGCCAGCAGCCGCGGUAAUACGGAGGAUGCAAGCGUUAUCCGGAAUGAUUGGGCGUAAAGCGUCCGCAGGUGGUUUUGUAAGUCUGCUGUCAAAGCGUCAUGCUUAACAUGAUACAGGCAGUGGAAACUACGGGACUAGAGUGCGUUAGGGGUGAAGGGAAUUCCUGGUGUAGCGGUGAAAUGCGUAGAGAUCAGGAAGAACACCGGUGGCGAAGGCGCUUCACUAUGCCGCAACUGACACUGAGGGACGAAAGCUAGGGGAGCGAAUGGGAUUAGAUACCCCAGUAG